This 71-nucleotide transfer RNA is filed under the name Marmota marmota marmota (Alpine marmot). It matches the Rfam family "tRNA". Rfam says of the family: Transfer RNA (tRNA) molecules are approximately 80 nucleotides in length. RNAcentral also lists the same sequence under 1 other name. Lineage: Eukaryota; Metazoa; Chordata; Mammalia; Rodentia; Sciuridae. The record is from Rfam by way of RNAcentral.
GGGGUUGUAGUUCAGUGGUAGAACGCUUGCCUAUCAUGUGUGAGACCCUGGGUUCAAUUCUCAGCACCUCA